Molecule: ribosomal RNA, 459 nt
Filed under: uncultured bacterium
Lineage: Bacteria
Description: partial 16S ribosomal RNA
Rfam family: Bacterial small subunit ribosomal RNA
Source: RNAcentral
CCUACGGGGGGCAGCAGUGAGGAAUAUUGGUCAAUGGGCGCGAGCCUGAACCAGCCAAGUAGCGUGAAGGAUGACUGCCCUACGGGUUGUAAACUUCUUUUACAAAGGAAUAAAGUGAGGCACGUGUGCCUUUUGUAUGUACUUUAUGAAUAAGGAACGGGUAACUCCGUGCCAGCAGCCGCGGUAAUACGGAGGCUCCGAGCGUUUUCCGGAUUUAUUGGGUUUAAAGGGAGCGUAAGUGGGUUGUUAAGGCAGGUGUGAAAGUUUGCGGGUCAACCGUAAAAUUGCAAUUGAUACUGGGGGCCUUGAGUGCGGCUGAGGUAGGCGGAAUUCGUGGUGUAGCGGUGAAAUGCUUAGAUAUCACGAAGAACUCCGAUUGCGAAGGCAGCCUACUGAGCUGCCACUGACGUUGAUGCUCGAAAGUGUGGGUAUCGAACAGGAUUAGAUACCCGUGUAGUC